UACGGAGGAUGCAAGCGUUAUCCGGAAUCAUUGGGCGUAAAGCGUCCGUAGGUGGCUUUUCAAGUCUGCCGUCAAAGACCGGGGCUUAACCCCAGAAAGGCGGUGGAAACUGAAUAGCUAGAGUGCAGUAGGGGUAGAGGGAAUUCCCGGUGUAGCGGUGAAAUGCGUAGAGAUCGGGAAGAACACCCGUGGCGAAAGCGCUCUACUGGACUGCAACUGACACUCAGGGACGAAAGCUAGGGGAGCGAAUGGG
Molecule: ribosomal RNA, 253 nt
Filed under: uncultured bacterium
Lineage: Bacteria
Description: partial 16S ribosomal RNA
Rfam family: Bacterial small subunit ribosomal RNA
Source: RNAcentral